RNAcentral lists this ribosomal RNA (822 nucleotides) under uncultured bacterium. RNAcentral describes it as "bacterial SSU rRNA". It matches the Rfam family "Bacterial small subunit ribosomal RNA", at positions 8 to 805 of the family's 1533-position model. The record is from RNAcentral.
AGAGUUUGAUCCUGGCUCAGAACGAACGCUGGCGGCGUGCCUAACACAUGCAAGUCGUACGAGAAAAUCCGCUUCGGCGGGUGAGUAAAGUGGCGCACGGGUGAGUAACGCGUGGAUAAUCUGCCUUUAAGCGGGGAAUAACUUACCGAAAGGUGGGCUAAUACCCCAUAAAGCUAUGGAGCUCCGGUUUUCAUAGCCAAAGAGAGCCUCUGCAUGCAAGCCCUCACUUAGAGAUGAGUCCGCGUACCAUUAGCUAGUUGGUGGGGUAAGGGCCUACCAAGGCGACGAUGGUUAGCUGGUCUGAGAGGAUGAUCAGCCACACUGGAAAUGAGACACGGUCCAGACUCCUACGGGAGGCAGCAGUGAGGAAUAUUGCGCAAUGGGGGCAACCCUGACGCAGCAAUGCCGCGUGAGUGAGGAAGGUUUUCGGAUCGUAAAGCUCUGUCGGGUGGGAAGAAAUGUAUGGAGGUUAACAGCCUUUGUACUUGACGGUACCGCCAAAGGAAGCACCGGCUAACUCCGUGCCAGCAGCCGCGGUAAUACGGGGGGUGCUAGCGUUGUUCGGAACCAUUGGGCGUAAAGAGCGUGUAGGCGGCUAGGCAAGUCAGAUGUGAAAUCCCUGGGCUUAACCCAGGACGUGCAUUUGAAACUGCUUGGCUUGAGUAGGGAAGAGGGAAGUGGAAUUCCUGGUGUAGAGGUGAAAUUCGUAGAUAUCAGGAGGAACACCGGUGGCGAAGGCGACUUCCUGGUCCUAUACUGACGCUGAGACGCGAGAGCGUGGGGAGCAAACAGGAUUAGAUCCCCUGGUAGUCCACGCCGUAA